GAUGAACGCUGGCGGCGUGCCUAAUACAUGCAAGUCGAGCGAACGGACGAGAAGCUUGCUUCUCUGAUGUUAGCGGCGGACGGGUGAGUAACACGUGGAUAACCUACCUAUAAGACUGGGAUAACUUCGGGGAACCGGAGCUAAUACCGGAUAAUAUUUUGAACCGCAUGGUUCAAAAGUGAAAGACGGUCUUGCUGUCACUUAUAGAUGGAUCCGCGCUGCAUUAGCUAGUUGGUAAGGUAACGGCUUACCAAGGCAACGAUGCAUAGCCGACCUGAGAGGGUGAUCGGCCACACUGGAACUGAGACACGGUCCAGACUCCUACGGGAGGCAGCAGUAGGGAAUCUUCCGUAAUGGGCGAAAGCCUGACGGAGCAACGCCGCGUGAGUGAUGAAGGUCUUCGGAUCGUAAAACUCUGUUAUUAGGGAAGAACAUAUGUGUAAGUAACUGUGCACAUCUUGACGGUACCUAAUCAGAAAGCCACGGCUAACUACGUG
RNAcentral lists this ribosomal RNA (497 nucleotides) under uncultured bacterium. RNAcentral describes it as "partial 16S ribosomal RNA". It matches the Rfam family "Bacterial small subunit ribosomal RNA", at positions 28 to 507 of the family's 1533-position model. The record is from RNAcentral.